RNAcentral lists this ribosomal RNA (1250 nucleotides) under Salmonella enterica subsp. enterica serovar Typhimurium. Its description in RNAcentral is "partial 23S ribosomal RNA". It matches the Rfam family "Bacterial large subunit ribosomal RNA", at positions 1 to 1647 of the family's 2925-position model. The record is from RNAcentral. Lineage: Bacteria; Pseudomonadati; Pseudomonadota; Gammaproteobacteria; Enterobacterales; Enterobacteriaceae.
CCACCACUAAGCCAGUGGUGAACUCCACAUCCGCAUCCUUUGCUGAGGAUACGGUUAACGGAGCGAAAGCGACGUUCAACCGCAAAACAAGCAGAGGGGGCUUAGUGGUGGGGUGACUGCGUACCUUUUGUAUAAUGGGUCAGCGACUUAUAUUCUGUAGCAAGGUUAACCGAAUAGGGGAGCCGGAGGGAAACCGAGUCUUAAUUGGGCGUUAAGUUGCAGGGUAUAGACCCGAAACCCGGUGAUCUAGCCAUGGGCAGGUUGAAGGUUGGGUAACACUAACUGGAGGACCGAACCGACUAAUGUUGAAAAAUUAGCGGAUGACCUGUGGCUGGGGGUGAAAGGCCAAUCAAACCGGGAGAUAGCUGGUUCUCCCCGAAAGCUAUUUAGGUAGCGCCUCGUGAAUUCAUCUCCGGGGGUAGAGCACUGUUUCGGCUAGGGGGCCAUCCCGGCUUACCAACCCGAUGCAAACUGCGAAUACCGGAGAAUGUUAUCACGGGAGACACACGGCGGGUGCUAACGUCCGUCGUGAAGAGGGAAACAACCCAGACCGCCAGCUAAGGUCCCAAAGUCAUGGUUAAGUGGGAAACGAUGUGGGAAGGCCCAGACAGCCAGGAUGUUGGCUUAGAAGCAGCCAUCAUUUAAAGAAAGCGUAAUAGCUCACUGGUCGAGUCGGCCUGCGCGGAAGAUGUAACGGGGCUAAACCAUGCACCGAAGCUGCGGCAGCGAACGUAUCACCCAAGACAACUUUACGGAGUUGACGAUUGACGGAGCGAAGCGACGUCAAAGCGUUCAUUAAAGUCGAGUUGGCUUAGGGAUACGUUCGUUGGGUAGGGGAGCGUUCUGUAAGCCUGUGAAGGUGUGUCGUGAGGCAUGCUGGAGGUAUCAGAAGUGCGAAUGCUGACAUAAGUAACGAUAAAGCGGGUGAAAAGCCCGCUCGCCGGAAGACCAAGGGUUCCUGUCCAACGUUAAUCGGGGCAGGGUGAGUCGACCCCUAAGGCGAGGCCGAAAGGCGUAGUCGAUGGGAAACGGGUUAAUAUUCCCGUACUUGGUGUUACUGCGAAGGGGGGACGGAGAAGGCUAUGUUGGCCGGGCGACGGUUGUCCCGGUUUAAGCGUGUAGGUGUGUGUUCCAGGUAAAUCCGGUUCACUUUAACACUGAGGCGUGACGACGAGGCACUACGGUGCUGAAGCAACAAAUGCCCUGCUUCCAGGAAAAGCCUCUAAGCAUCAGGUAACACGAAAUCGUAC